AUACGGAGGGUGCAAGCGUUACUCGGAAUCACUGGGCGUACAGCGCGCGCAGGCGGGCUGAUAAGUUGGAUGUGAAAGCCCACGGCUCAACCGUAGAACUGCAUCCAAAACUGUCAGUCUAGAGUGUGGGAGAGGAAGAUGGAAUUAGUUGUGUAGGGGUAAAAUCCGUAGAGAUAACUAGGAAUACCAAAAGCGAAGGCAAUCUUCUGGAACACUACUGACGCUGAGGCGCGAAGGCGUGGGGAGCAAACAGGAUUAGAAACCCCAGUAGUCC
Molecule: ribosomal RNA, 274 nt
Filed under: uncultured bacterium
Lineage: Bacteria
Description: partial 16S ribosomal RNA
Rfam family: Bacterial small subunit ribosomal RNA
Source: RNAcentral